UGAGGAACAUGACCUUCGGCGGGGGAUAGCCGGCCCAACGGCCGGGUAAUACCGCGUACGACCACAUGGGGACAUCCCUGGAUGGUGAAAGCAGCAAUGCGCCGAUGGAGUGCCUCGCGGCCUAUCAGCUAGUUGGUGAGGUAAUGGCCCACCAAGGCGACGACGGGUAGCCGGCCUGAGAGGGUGACCGGCCACACUGGGACUGAGACACGGCCCAGACUCCCUACGGGAGGNAGCG
RNAcentral lists this ribosomal RNA (238 nucleotides) under uncultured bacterium. RNAcentral's name for it is "partial 16S ribosomal RNA". It matches the Rfam family "Bacterial small subunit ribosomal RNA", at positions 118 to 352 of the family's 1533-position model. The record is from RNAcentral.